GAUGAACGCUAGCGGCGGGCUUAAUACAUGCAAGUCGAACGGUAACAGGUCUUCGGAUGCUGACGAGUGGCGCACGGGUGCGUAACGCGUACACAAUCUACCUUUAAGUGGGGUAUAGCCUUGGGAAACUGAGAAUAAUCCCCCAUAGUAUUAUUGGAUCGCAUGGUUUGAUAAUUAAAGAUUUAUUGCUUAGAGAUGAGUGUGCGUUUGAUUAGGUAGUUGGUGAGGUAACGGCUCACCAAGCCAACGAUCAAUAACUGGUCUGAGAGGAUGAUCAGUCACACGGGAACUGAGACACGGUCCCGACUCCUACGGGAGGCAGCAGUAGGGAAUAUUGGGCAAUGGAGGCAACUCUGACCCAGCCACGCCGCGUGGAGGAUGAAGGUGCUAUGCAUCGUAAACUUCUUUUGUCAAGGGAGAAAGUGCGUGAUUUUUCACGUUUUGACGGUACUUGGCGAAUAAGCAUCGGCUAACUACGUG
This 480-nucleotide ribosomal RNA is filed under the name uncultured organism. RNAcentral describes it as "bacterial SSU rRNA". It matches the Rfam family "Bacterial small subunit ribosomal RNA", at positions 28 to 507 of the family's 1533-position model. The record is from RNAcentral.